CCGAGGGUGCCAUAAGAUCUGCUAACUCUUUAAUCUGGGACUAAUAUCCAGCCCCCUC
Molecule: transfer RNA, 58 nt
Filed under: Arizona elegans
Lineage: Eukaryota; Metazoa; Chordata; Lepidosauria; Squamata; Colubridae
Description: tRNA-Ser
Source: RNAcentral